UACAGGCGGCGCGGGGCUGGGCGGCACAGGUGAAGGGGGCGCAGGUGAGGGCGGAGGAGAUGGCGAUGGUGGACGAGGUGAUGGCGGCUCUGGGCUUGGCGGCGCAGGGCUCGGAGGCUCGGGGCUGGGCGGCACAGGCGAAGGAGGCGGGCUGGGAGGCGUAGGCGGAGGCGGCGGGCUGGGACACGUCGCCGGAAUCUGCGUGCCGUUGUACACAUACACCGCAGACGGCACCGCGCCGCACAUCAGCGAGUUGCCGCUGAGGUCCACACGGAACAGACCCGUCAGCACGCUCCAGCCAGAGGGAACAGGCCCGGUUAGCAGAUUCCCGCUCAAGUCCAGCGUGCGCAGGUUGCUCAGCGCAGACCACUCGGCAGGCAGCUGGCCAGAGUACCGGUUGCCCAGCAGCUCCAGGCGAGUCAGAGACGUCAGGACACUCCACGACCGCGGUAACGUGCCCGUCAGGCUGUUGUUGGUGGCGCGAAUGGUGCUCAGGCUGGACACGAACGCCCACGACUCCGGCAAGGAGCCCGUGAGGUUGCGCUGGUUCAGCACCACCGUGGUGGGCUGUCCUGCCGUGCACGACACGCCCGUCCACGCAGCCGUGCAGGGGUCGCUGCUGGUGUUCCAGCCCAGAAUCGCAGCCGGCAACGGACUGGCCGUCACCCGCAGGUCCGCAAGCGCAUAGCCAAACGAAGGCGGAGGUGGAGACGGAGGCGCCGGCGAUGGAGGGGCAGGGCUGGGAGGCGCAGGGCUGGGAGGCACAGGAGGCGGAGACGGCGGGGACGGGCACGCCAGACCAACCUGCGUGCCGCUGCUCGUCACCGGACUGCCAGCAGCCCACGGCGUGGGGAUGCUGCCACACAGUGCGCCGUUAUUGUCCAGCCACAGGAGCUGCAGCGCGCCCAUGCCGCCAGGACCAGCCCAGGCGGCCGGAAUGGUCGAGUAGAAGCCGUUGCCCGACAGGUCCAGCUCCGUCAGACGCGUCAGCGCGGACCAAGACACAGGCAGCAGGCCGCCGAGGCCCGGCCCGUUGUUGGCCACGCUGACGUACUCCAGCUGCGUCAUCUGGGAGUACGAGUCCGGAAGCGUGCCCGUCAGCGUGUUGCCGCUCAACGUCACUGAGCGCAGCGUGCGCACUUGCACCAGGCUGGCCGGCAGGGGGCCAGCCAGCCGCGGCGAGGUGGACGGCAGGCUCAGGUCCACCACGUUGCCGCUGCCGUCGCAGCUGACGCCGUACCAGCUGGUGCAUGGGUUCGGAUGCAUCACGUCGUCCCAUGUGCUGAGCGCCGUGGAGUUGCCCAGCUCGUAUUUGACCUGCAGCAGCGCGUUGGCUGCAGUGGGCGGAGCGGGCGGCGCCGGGCUGGGCGGCGCGGGGCUGGGCGGCCGCGGGCUAGGCGGGUCCGGGCUGGGUGGCGUGGGGCUGGGUGGUGCCGGGCUGGGCGGUACAGGCGGCGCGGGGCUGGGCGGCACGGGCGAAGGGGGCGCCGGUGAGGGCGGAGGAGAUGGCGCUGGCGGCUCCGGGCUGGGCGGCAUGGGGGACGGCGGCUCUGGGCUGGGCGGUGCAGGUGAAGGGGGCGCUGGAGACGGCGGCACAGGAGGCGCAGGGCUCGGCGGUACCGGAGGUGCCGGUGACGGUGGCUCUGGGCUGGGCGGUGCAGGUGAAGGGGGCGCUGGAGGCGCAGGGCUGGGAGGAACAGGCGGCGCAGGGCUCGGGGGCGCUGGGCUGGGCGGCACAGGCGACGGAGGUGGGCUGGGAGGCGUAGGCGGAGGCGGCGGGCUGGGACACGUCGCCGGAAUCUGCGUGCCGUUGUACACAUACACCGCAGACGGCACCGCGCCGCACAUCAGCGAGUUGCCACUGAGGUCCACGCGGAACAGACCCGUCAGCACGCUCCAGCCAGAUGGAACAGGCCCGGUCAGCAGAUUCCCGCUCAGGUCCAGCGUGCGCAGGUUGCUCAGCGCAGACCACUCGGCAGGCAGCUGGCCAGAGUACCGGUUGCCCAGCAGCUCCAGGCGAGUCAGAGACGUCAGGACACUCCACGACCGCGGUAACGUGCCCGUCAGGCUGUUGUUGGUGGCGCGAAUGGUGCUCAGGCUGGACACGAACGCCCACGACUCCGGCAAGGAGCCCGUGAGGUUGCGCUGGUUCAGCACCACCGUGGUGGGCUGUCCUGCCGUGCACGACACGCCCGUCCACGCAGCCGUACAGGGGUCGCUGCUGGUGUUCCAGCCCAGAAUCGCAGCCGGCAACGGACUGGCCGUCACCCGCAGGUCCGCAAGCGCAUAGCCAAACGAAGGCGGAGGUGGAGACGGAGGCGCCGGCGACGGAGGGGCAGGGCUGGGAGGCGCAGGGCUGGGAGGCACAGGAGGCGGAGACGGCGGGGACGGGCACGCCAGACCAACCUGCGUGCCGCUGCUCGUCACCGGACUGCCAGCAGCCCACGGCGUGGGGAUGCUGCCACACAGUGCGCCGUUGUUGUCCAGCCACAGAAGCUGCAGCGCGCCCAUGCCGCCAGGACCAGCCCAGGCGGCCGGAAUGGUCGAGUAGAAGCCGUUGCCCGACAGGUCCAGCUCCGUCAGACGCGUCAGCGCGGACCAAGACACAGGCAGCAGGCCGCCGAGGCCCGGCCCGUUGUUGGCCACGCUGACGUACUCCAGCUGCGUCAUCUGGGAGUACGAGUCCGGAAGCGUGCCCGUCAGCGUGUUGCCGCUCAACGUCACUGAGCGCAGCGUGCGCACUUGCACCAGGCUGGCCGGCAGGGGGCCAGCCAGCCGCGGCGAGGUGGACGGCAGGCUCAGGUCCACCACGUUGCCGCUGCCGUCGCAGCUGACGCCGUACCAGCUGGUGCAUGGGUUCGGAUGCAUCACGUCGUCCCACGUGCUGAGCGCCGUGGAGUUGCCCAGCUCGUAUUUGACCUGCAGCAGCGCGUUGGCUGCAGUGGGCGGAGCGGGCGGCGCCGGGCUGGGCGGCGCGGGGCUGGGCGGCCGCGGGCUAGGCGGGUCCGGCCUGGGUGGCGUGGGGCUGGGUGGUGCCGGGCUGGGCGGUACAGGCGGCGCGGGGCUGGGCGGCACGGGCGAAGGGGGCGCCGGUGAGGGCGGAGGAGAUGGCGCUGGCGGCUCCGGGCUGGGCGGCAUGGGGGACGGCGGCUCUGGGCUGGGCGGUGCAGGUGACGGGGGCGCUGGAGACGGCGGCACAGGAGGCGCAGGGCUCGGCGGUACCGGAGGUGCCGGUGACGGUGGCUCUGGGCUGGGCGGUGCAGGUGAAGGGGGCGCUGGAGGCGCAGGGCUGGGAGGAACAGGCGGCGCAGGGCUCGGGGGCGCUGGGCUGGGCGGCUCCGGAGAAGGCGGCACAGGAGGCGCAGGGCUGGGAGGAACAGGCGGCGCAGGGCUCGGAGGCGCUGGGCUGGGCGGCACAGGCGACGGAGGCGGGCUGGGAGGCGUAGGCGGAGGCGGCGGGCUGGGACACGUCGCCGGAAUCUGCGUGCCGUUGUACACAUACACCGCAGACGGCACCGGGCCGCACAUCAGCGAGUUGCCACUGAGGUCCACGCGGAACAGACCCGUCAGCACGCUCCAGCCAGAGGGAACAGGCCCGGUCAACAGAUUCCCACUCAGGUCCAGCGUGCGCAGGUUGCUCAGCGCAGACCACUCGGCAGGCAGCUGGCCAGAGUACCGGUUGCCCAGCAGCUCCAGGCGAGUCAGAGACGUCAGGACACUCCACGACCGCGGUAACGUGCCCGUCAGGCUGUUGUUGGUGGCGCGAAUGGUGCUCAGGCUGGACACGAACGCCCACGACUCCGGCAAGGAGCCCGUGAGGUUGCGCUGGUUCAGCACCACCGUGGUGGGCUGUCCUGCCGUGCACGACACGCCCGUCCACGCAGCCGUACAGGGGUCGCUGCUGGUGUUCCAGCCCAGAAUCGCAGCCGGCAACGGACUGGCCGUCACCCGCAGGUCCGCAAGCGCAUAGCCAAACGAAGGCGGAGGUGGAGACGGAGGCGCCGGCGACGGAGGGGCAGGGCUGGGAGGCGCAGGGCUGGGAGGCACAGGAGGCGGAGACGGCGGGGACGGGCACGCCAGACCAACCUGCGUGCCGCUGCUCGUCACCGGACUGCCAGCAGCCCACGGCGUGGGGAUGCUGCCACACAGUGCGCCGUUGUUGUCCAGCCACAGGAGCUGCAGCGCGCCCAUGCCGCCAGGACCAGCCCAGGCGGCCGGAAUGGUCGAGUAGAAGCCGUUGCCCGACAGGUCCAGCUCCGUCAGACGCGUCAGCGCGGACCAAGACACAGGCAGCAGGCCGCCGAGGCCCGGCCCGUUGUUGGCCACGCUGACGUACUCCAGCUGCGUCAUCUGGGAGUACGAGUCCGGAAGCGUGCCCGUCAGCGUGUUGCCGCUCAACGUCACUGAGCGCAGCGUGCGCACUUGCACCAGGCUGGCCGGCAGGGGGCCAGCCAGCCGCGGCGAGGUGGACGGCAGGCUCAGGUCCACCACGUUGCCGCUGCCGUCGCAGCUGACGCCGUACCAGCUGGUGCAUGGGUUCGGAUGCAUCACGUCGUCCCACGUGCUGAGCGCCGUGGAGUUGCCCAGCUCGUAUUUGACCUGCAGCAGCGCGUUGGCUGCAGUGGGCGGAGCGGGCGGCGCCGGGCUGGGCGGCGCGGGGCUGGGCGGCCGCGGGCUAGGCGGGUCCGGGCUGGGUGGCGUGGGGCUGGGUGGUGCCGGGCUGGGCGGUACAGGCGGCGCCGGGCUGGGCGGCACGGGCGAAGGGGGCGCCGGUGAGGGCGGAGGAGAUGGCGCUGGCGGCUCCGGGCUGGGCGGUGCAGGUGAAGGGGGCGCUGGAGACGGCGGAACAGGAGGCGCAGGGCUCGGCGGUACCGGAGGUGCCGGUGACGGUGGCUCUGGGCUGGGCGGUGCAGGUGAAGGGGGCGCUGGAGGCGCAGGGCUGGGAGGAACAGGCGGCGCAGGGCUCGGGGGCGCUGGGCUGGGCGGCUCCGGAGAAGGCGGCACAGGAGGCGCAGGGCUGGGAGGAACAGGCGGCGCAGGGCUCGGAGGCGCUGGGCUGGGCGGCACAGGCGACGGAGGCGGGCUGGGAGGCGUAGGCGGAGGCGGCGGGCUGGGACACGUCGCCGGAAUCUGCGUGCCGUUGUACACAUACACCGCAGACGGCACCGGGCCGCACAUCAGCGAGUUACCACUGAGGUCCACGCGGAACAGACCCGUCAGCACGCUCCAGCCAGAGGGAACAGGCCCGGUCAACAGAUUCCCGCUCAGGUCCAGCGUGCGCAGGUUGCUCAGCGUAGACCACUCGGCAGGCAGCUGGCCAGAGUACCGGUUGCCCAGCAGCUCCAGGCGAGUCAGAGACGUCAGGACACUCCACGACCGCGGUAACGUGCCCGUCAGGCUGUUGUUGGUGGCGCGAAUGGUGCUCAGGCUGGACACGAACGCCCACGACUCCGGCAAGGAGCCCGUGAGGUUGCGCUGGUUCAGCACCACCGUGGUGGGCUGUCCUGCCGUGCACGACACGCCCGUCCACGCAGCCGUGCAGGGGUCGCUGCUGGUGUUCCAGCCCAGAAUCGCAGCCGGCAACGGACUGGCCGUCACCCGCAGGUCCGCAAGCGCAUAGCCAAACGAAGGCGGAGGUGGAGACGGAGGCGCCGGCGACGGAGGGGCAGGGCUGGGAGGCGCAGGGCUGGGAGGCACAGGAGGCGGAGACGGCGGGGACGGGCACGCCAGACCAAUCUGCGUGCCGCUGCUCGUCAC
Molecule: long non-coding RNA, 5757 nt
Filed under: Chlamydomonas reinhardtii
Lineage: Eukaryota; Viridiplantae; Chlorophyta; Chlorophyceae; Chlamydomonadales; Chlamydomonadaceae
Description: long non-coding RNA (CREI_LNC001091)
Source: RNAcentral